Molecule: unclassified non-coding RNA, 272 nt
Filed under: uncultured fungus
Lineage: Eukaryota; Fungi
Description: sequence contains ITS1
Source: RNAcentral
GUAUAUAGUUUAUAAGACAAUAAAGUCUAAUAAUGACAUUCUGUUACAUUCUUAUGGUGUAUAUGAAAACAUAGGCCUGGAAUCUUACAAGGAAAGCCGAUUAAAGCAAUUCCUCACGACCGAGUUGCCUCGGAAAAUUGAUACCAGGUCUACAAAAGGUGCACAGGUGGAGAUAUAAAGAUGACAAGGUGUGCACAUGCCUCCGAAAAGGCCAGCAGCAACCAAGUCAAGUUCAUUCAAUAAUGAUCCUUCCGCAGGUUCACCUACGGAAA